This 60-nucleotide transfer RNA is filed under the name Alphaproteobacteria bacterium. RNAcentral's name for it is "tRNA-Ala". It matches the Rfam family "tRNA", at positions 7 to 64 of the family's 71-position model. Rfam says of the family: Transfer RNA (tRNA) molecules are approximately 80 nucleotides in length. Their secondary structure includes four short double-helical elements and three loops (D, anti-codon, and T loops). Further hydrogen bonds mediate the characteristic L-shaped molecular structure. tRNAs have two regions of fundamental functional importance: the anti-codon, which is responsible for specific mRNA codon recognition, and the 3' end, to which the tRNAs corresponding amino acid is attached (by aminoacyl-tRNA synthetases). tRNAs cope with the degeneracy of the genetic code in two manners: having more than one tRNA (with a specific anti-codon) for a particular amino acid; and 'wobble' base-pairing, i.e. permitting non-standard base-pairing at the 3rd anti-codon position. Lineage: Bacteria; Pseudomonadati; Pseudomonadota; Alphaproteobacteria. The record is from RNAcentral.
GUAGCUCAGUUGGUAGAGCGCCUGCUUUGCAAGCAGGAUGUCGUCGGUUCGAAUCCGUUC